GAAGCGCAGAGGGCGGGGGACCUUUGGGCGGUGCGUGGGAGGCGCUGAAGAAGAUAAACUUUUCCCAGCGGCGACCGCUGGGGGAUGACCAAUCAUAUCAAGUGGUUCCCAUGACGAAUUUGACGCUAUGCGAUCCAAGGCUGGAGACUUUCUUCUGCAAAGAUGGCUGACAAAAAUACUAGGUUGGAAGCAAAUGGACUCCUGAAACAACCAGCAAACCAGGCUGUCGUCUUGUGAAACAGUGGGUGUAAAGAAUCUAGCUAGCUAAAGCAUUUACUGCAAAUUGAAUGUACAAUUUUGUACGCUUCCCUUGCUGAUAUUUGCCAUGUAAUGCAGAUAGAUGAAUAACGAAUAACAGUGGAGGAUAAACAUACCUGUAUGCCUAUGGAUGUGAAGCUAGCUAUCUAGCCCCAUCGCAACGUUUGGUAUACAAAUGAGUUCAGAACCUAGCUAUGAAUCUCAGCUAUCAUAGCCAGUUGUAUCAACUUCAAAA
Molecule: long non-coding RNA, 493 nt
Organism: Salmo salar (Atlantic salmon)
Lineage: Eukaryota; Metazoa; Chordata; Actinopteri; Salmoniformes; Salmonidae
Source: RefSeq, a predicted model, not a curated record